RNAcentral lists this long non-coding RNA (503 nucleotides) under Coffea arabica (coffee). RNAcentral's name for it is "long non-coding RNA (CARA_LNC000202)". Lineage: Eukaryota; Viridiplantae; Streptophyta; Magnoliopsida; Gentianales; Rubiaceae. The record is from RNAcentral.
UAUGCAAGGUAUUAGUGUCCGGCACCACGCCUCGCAGAAUGCCCUAAGUACAUGGGGAUUCCUAUCAUAUGUGAAAAGUGAAGCAUAUAAGGCAUCAAACAAGUAAUUUUCACGAAACACUUGUUUGCUCCUGCCGAGAAUAUCUCCAACUACUCCCAAAAACUCUCGAUGUAACUGAAUGCACCAUUAAGUCUCAAGGAAGGACCCCAGUGUGCAUCUCCGUCUAUGAUCCGCCUGCCAAGGGUUUGAAAGGGAGUUGUCCUUGGCUCCUUACUGUGAAUAAGGGAACUCAAGGAGUGGACUUUCGUGCCGUCAUCUUGAGAAUGUUCAAGUGACCAGUCCUUCAAUUCUGGGUACUGGUGAGAAGGCCACUUACCCGAGUAAGAUCCUUGUAUAGGGAUAUGCACCAGUAAUUUCGUUCCUUUGUCAUCAGAGUCGUCAUGACUAUUGGCGAUAAGGAGGUACCUUUCGUUUGAAGUGAUUACUUCCUUGAAUAUUGCCAU